GACGAACGCUGGCGGCGUGCUUAACACAUGCAAGUCGAACGGUGACCCAGGGCUUGCCCUGGUGAUCAGUGGCGAACGGGUGAGUAACACGUGGGCAACCUGCCCCUGACUUCGGGAUAACUCCUCGAAAGAGGAGCUAAUACCGGAUACGACCACUUCGGACAUCCGAUGGUGGUGGAAAGUUUUUCGGUCAGGGAUGGGCCCGCGGCCUAUCAGCUAGUUGGUGGGGUAAUGGCCUACCAAGGCGACGACGGGUAGCCGGCCUGAGAGGGCGACCGGCCACACUGGGACUGAGACACGGCCCAGACUCCUACGGGAGGCAGCAGUGGGGAAUAUUGCGCAAUGGGCGAAAGCCUGACGCAGCGACGCCGCGUGAGGGAUGAAGGCCUCGGGUUGUAACCUCCUUCAGCAGGGACGAAGCGAAAGUGACGGUACCUGCAGAAGAAGACACCGGCGUAACUACGUGCCAGCAGCCGCGGUAAU
Molecule: ribosomal RNA, 483 nt
Filed under: uncultured bacterium
Lineage: Bacteria
Description: bacterial SSU rRNA
Rfam family: Bacterial small subunit ribosomal RNA
Source: RNAcentral